This 720-nucleotide ribosomal RNA is filed under the name Nuncia americana. Its description in RNAcentral is "bacterial SSU rRNA". It matches the Rfam family "Eukaryotic small subunit ribosomal RNA", at positions 380 to 1776 of the family's 1831-position model. The record is from RNAcentral. Lineage: Eukaryota; Metazoa; Arthropoda; Arachnida; Opiliones; Triaenonychidae.
AUUCCGGAGAGGGAGCCUGAGAAACGGCUACCACAUCCAAGGAAGGCAGCAGGCGCGCAAAUUACCCACUCCCGGCAAGGGGAGGUAGUGACGAAAAAUAACGAUGCGGGACUCUUUUGAGGCCCCGCAAUCGGAAUGAGUACACUCUAAUUAAUUUGACUCAACACGGGAAAACUUACCCGGCCCGGACACCGAAAAGGAUUGACAGAUUAAGAGCUCUUUCUUGAUUCGGUGGGUGGUGGUGCAUGGCCGUUCUUAGUUGGUGGAGCGAUUUGUCUGGUUAAUUCCGAUAACGAACGAGACUCUAGCCUACUUAAUAGAGAACCGAUUUCCUCUCGUCGGUUACUCUUCUUAGAGGGACAAGCGGCGUUUAGCCGCACGAGACAGAGCAAUAACAGGUCUGUGAUGCCCUUAGAUGUCCGGGGCCGCACGCGCGCUACACUGAAGGAAUCAGCGUGUGUUCACCCUGGCCGAAAGGUCUGGGUAACCCGUUGAACCUCCUUCGUGAUAGGGAUAGGGGCUUGUAACUAUUCCCCUUGAACGAGGAAUUCCCAGUAAGCGCGAGUCAUAAGCUCGCGUUGAUUACGUCCCUGCCCUUUGUACACACCGCCCGUCGCUACUACCGAUUGAAUGAUUUAGUGAGGUCUUCGGACUGGUGCUCGGAGCGGCCCUCGGGUCGCGCCGGCGUACCGGAAAAGAUGACCAAACUUGAUCAUUUUA